GAUCAUGGCUCAGGACGAACGCUGGCGGCGUGCCUAACACAUGCAAGUCGAACGGAGACAAACGCAGAAAUGAGAUUAGCUUGCUAAAGGAUUUUCAUGUUUGUCUUAGUGGCGGACGGGUGAGUAACGCGUGAGGAACCUGCCUCUCAGAGGGGGAUAACGUUUGGAAACGAACGCUAAUACCGCAUACCUUGCCGGAACGGCAUCGUUCUGGCAAGAAAGGAGCAAUCCGCUGAGAGAUGG
Molecule: ribosomal RNA, 243 nt
Filed under: uncultured bacterium
Lineage: Bacteria
Description: partial 16S ribosomal RNA
Rfam family: Bacterial small subunit ribosomal RNA
Source: RNAcentral